AGAGCUGUCCUUAGUACGAGAGGACCGGGAUGGACCGACCUAUGGUGUACCAGUUGUUUCGCCAGAAGCAUAGCUGGGUAGCUAAGUCGGGACGGGAUAAACGCUGAAAGCAUCUAAGCGUGAAGCCUCCUUCAAGAUGAGAUUUCCCAUAGCGUAAGCUAGUAAGACCCCUUGAAGACUACAAGGUUGAUAGGUCAGAGGUGUAAGUGUGGCAACAUAUUUAGCUGACUGAUACUAAUAGGUCGAGGGCUUGACCAAUAA
This 261-nucleotide ribosomal RNA is filed under the name Clostridium botulinum. RNAcentral's name for it is "partial 23S ribosomal RNA". It matches the Rfam family "Bacterial large subunit ribosomal RNA", at positions 2668 to 2925 of the family's 2925-position model. Lineage: Bacteria; Bacillati; Bacillota; Clostridia; Eubacteriales; Clostridiaceae. The record is from RNAcentral.